UCUUUUUCUUCUUACUCACUUUGUGAGAUAUAAAAACAUAUUCCGUGGAAACUUUCCACUUUCCUAGUCAUUUUAUAUGAAUCCAACUAUUAAGUUUCCUCUACUAUGCUCUCUAUCUGCCUCAGCGCCUGAGUCCCAUUUUCUCAAUGCGUGCCUUAGUAUUCUGUUUCUUCCUCCCUCCCCCUUUUCUCAAUAAAUCCUCUGUAGUCCCAGACUCCUCUCACUCUCUCUCUCUUAUUCUCUUGUUCUCUUUUGCUGCCUUUUCCCCCCUCUCUUAGCUUCUUUCUCACAGAAGUAGCCCCCUUUCCUUCACCCCCCUUUUCUGCUAGACACACAUAUGGUAAGAAUUACAGUCAUGACUCAUAGCUCUCGUCCCAGUCGGUUCCUCAUAACGACAAUGAAAACAGAGCCAGCUGAAAAAAAAGAUACAGACAGAGGGAAGAGAGAAUGUGGCUCACAAGAACCCCUUCAUCCAAAUUCAAAAACACUGUCCGGAAAAAUAUACUAUUCCAAUGUGCUGAUGUGGAGACUCGUUGCACCAAAACUGAAUACGAGCACCACUACUCAAAAUGAAUGAGACAAUUUACUAUUAUUAGUCA
Molecule: long non-coding RNA, 599 nt
Organism: Silurus meridionalis
Lineage: Eukaryota; Metazoa; Chordata; Actinopteri; Siluriformes; Siluridae
Exons: 3
Source: RefSeq, a predicted model, not a curated record